CCUACGGGCGGCAGCAGUGGGGAAUAUUGGACAAUGGGGGGAACCCUGAUCCAGCCAUGCCGCGUGUGUGAAGAAGGCCCUCGGGUUGUAAAGCACUUUCAGUGAGGAAGAACGCCUGGUGGUUAAUACCCAUCAGGAAAGACAUCACUCACAGAAGAAGCACCGGCUAACUCCGUGCCAGCAGCCGCGGUAAUACGGAGGGUGCGAGCGUUAAUCGGAAUUACUGGGCGUAAAGCGCGCGUAGGUGGCUUGACAAGCCGGUUGUGAAAGCCCCGGGCUCAACCUGGGAACGGCAUCCGGAACUGUCAAGCUAGAGUGCAGGAGAGGAAGGUAGAAUUCCCGGUGUAGCGGUGAAAUGCGUAGAGAUCGGGAGGAAUACCAGUGGCGAAGGCGGCCUUCUGGACUGAAACUGACACUGAGGUGCGAAAGCGUGGGUAGCAAACAGGAUUAGAUACCCCGGUAGUC
Molecule: ribosomal RNA, 465 nt
Filed under: Vreelandella stevensii
Lineage: Bacteria; Pseudomonadati; Pseudomonadota; Gammaproteobacteria; Oceanospirillales; Halomonadaceae
Description: partial 16S ribosomal RNA
Rfam family: Bacterial small subunit ribosomal RNA
Source: RNAcentral